AACGCCGCGUGAGUGUUGAAGGCUUUCGGGUCGUAAAGCUCUGUCAAUGGGAAAGAAGUGUAAGGUGGUUAAUACCCGCUUUACUUGACGGUACCCAUAAAGGAAGCACCGGCUAACUCCGUGCCAGCAGCCGCGGUAAUA
RNAcentral lists this ribosomal RNA (141 nucleotides) under uncultured bacterium. Its description in RNAcentral is "partial 16S ribosomal RNA". It matches the Rfam family "Bacterial small subunit ribosomal RNA", at positions 393 to 525 of the family's 1533-position model. The record is from RNAcentral.